This 1290-nucleotide long non-coding RNA is filed under the name Phasianus colchicus (ring-necked pheasant). Its description in RNAcentral is "lncRNA (ENSPCLG00000021833.1)". Lineage: Eukaryota; Metazoa; Chordata; Aves; Galliformes; Phasianidae. The record is from RNAcentral.
AUGCAAGCCUUCCCUGUUCGUUAUUUCUCCCCUGCAGACUCUGGCCACGCUGCUGCUAAUUCGUAUUUGUUGAUAUUCCUCAGCAGCCGAACACACAGAGUGUGCUCCAGACGGUACCCAGAUGUGAUUGGAGCCGGUACCCUCUUCCCGCUAACAGAGAAUUGCAAAUUAUCACAACAGCGGCAGAGGAAUAACCUUUACGCUUCAUUAAAAUUCCACAGACUCUGCUCUGUUUCCCCUUCCGCGAACCCAACGGGCACCGCGGGUGGAACGGGAUCCCCCUCCCAUCCACCCGUCGGCUUCGGGCCGGGAUGCGAUGCGACAUCUCUGUGGGUCCGCCGCUCCCGCCCGGGCCGUGUGCCGCUGCGGGGGCCGCGGUCCCACCAGGCGCCCCGUGGAUCCGAAGGACGGGGUCCGGCUCGGAGCCCGCCGCCUACGGUCGGGGAAUUGACGGAAUCUGCGUCCGUCGCGCUCUACCGCAGCGUGCAGCCCCGCCGCGAGCCAACUCUGAGCCGCGCCGCGCUCCCGCCGGGCAUUUUCCGUGGCCGAGGCAGCGCCCGGCUCCGCGAGCGGCGAAUCGAGGCGGCAACUCCCGCCGGGCCCAGGAGGGGGCGCCGCGGCGCGGGCGGAGCGCGGGGCGGGGCUGCCGGAGGGCUCCGGAGAACAAAGGUUCCGCGCUCCCCUCCGCAGCGCCGCGCCCCGGCGGGAGGAGCCACCGCCGCCACCGCCGCCAACGCGGGGAGCGCGGGGCGAGGGCGACCCCUGCCGGGCGCCGCCGGACAGACGCAGACGGGCGGGGGGAUCAGGCCGCGCCCCGUCGGCUCCUUUCGGCUGCCCUUAACUCCUCCGGCCUCCCGGUCCUGUUUGGCAUUCGCCUCUCACCCAGACCUCUCCUGGCCUCGGGCUUCCCACGCGUUCAUCCUCCUUCCUUUUCCUGACUUCCAGCCUCUUGCCACCUGCUCACCCGUUUAUGGUGUCUGCAGUUCUGUCGCCUUCCACCCAUUUUGGCCUCCACUUUUUAGUUUGGCCCCACCCUUUUUCACCAGCUUGAAAGUAGAGACCGAAAAAGGGUGGGAAGGUGUAAAACAGGUGGAAAGGCAAGCAAUGAAGUGGAGCCAAAAAAAUGGGAAGGAGGCUGAGAAGAAGUGGGAGUCCUUCCCUCCCUUUUCCCCUUCCUCUCUCCCUUCCCUUUCUCCUAAACCUUCUUCUUCCCAUUUCCCUUUUCUCCACCCCCUUCCAGGCCCAAAGGCGUUGCUGCUGUAUUUGUGUUUGUUUCCAGGGGAAGAGUGA